GGACUACUGGGGUUUCUAAUCCCGUUCGCUCCCCUGGCUUUCGCGCCUCAGCGUCAGAAGAGGUCCAGCACGCCGCUUUCGCCACCGGCGUUCCUUCGGAUAUCUACGCAUUUCACCGCUCCACCCGAAGUUCCGCAUGCCCCUACCUCCCUCGAGAUGACCAGUAUCGGAGGCGGUUUUCCGGUUGGGCCGAAAGAUUUCACCACCGACUUGGUCACCCGCCUACGCGCCCUUUAAGCCCAGUGAAUCCGAACAACGUUUGCACGGUUCGUCUUACCGCGGCUGCUGGCAC
Molecule: ribosomal RNA, 292 nt
Filed under: uncultured bacterium
Lineage: Bacteria
Also listed under: 1 other name
Description: partial 16S ribosomal RNA
Source: RNAcentral